GAUGCGACCGACAAAAGUAGUUAUAAGAACCGAACAUAGGGUACAUGGAUUGCAUCAUCAUUUUUGGAUGGUAUUUUAUGGUUGGAAAAUACAAAAUAAUGAGCCCACGAUUCAAUCAUCAACAUCUCAAGAUAACUACCCUAUAUCUGCAUCAAGUCCUUUAUGGAACCAUCCAUGAACUCUUUUGUUAUAGCCCAAAACCCAGCCCAACC
Molecule: long non-coding RNA, 212 nt
Filed under: Elaeis guineensis (African oil palm)
Lineage: Eukaryota; Viridiplantae; Streptophyta; Magnoliopsida; Arecales; Arecaceae
Description: long non-coding RNA (EGUI_LNC064314)
Source: RNAcentral